AGGUUGCCUAUGAUCCCUAUCAAAAGCUUUACCAUGAGGAUUAGGGUGCCUAUAGUUCCUAUCAAAGGUUCUACUAUUAGAAUUAGGUUGUCUACGGUCCUAUCAUAGGCUCUACCAUAAGGAUAAUAAUGCUCAAAACGGUGGUCAUGCCUAAAGUGACUAUUUGGUGGUUCAUCAAGAACAUACUCAUAAUACCCAAUAUGUGUCCUAUCUUUAAAGUGCAAAGGAA
This 229-nucleotide unclassified non-coding RNA is filed under the name Hevea brasiliensis (rubber tree). The record is from RNAcentral. Lineage: Eukaryota; Viridiplantae; Streptophyta; Magnoliopsida; Malpighiales; Euphorbiaceae.